Molecule: transfer RNA, 69 nt
Filed under: Glandirana tientaiensis (Tientai rough-skinned frog)
Lineage: Eukaryota; Metazoa; Chordata; Amphibia; Anura; Ranidae
Description: Rugosa tientaiensis (Tientai rough-skinned frog) tRNA-Asp
Rfam family: tRNA
About the family: Transfer RNA (tRNA) molecules are approximately 80 nucleotides in length. Their secondary structure includes four short double-helical elements and three loops (D, anti-codon, and T loops). Further hydrogen bonds mediate the characteristic L-shaped molecular structure. tRNAs have two regions of fundamental functional importance: the anti-codon, which is responsible for specific mRNA codon recognition, and the 3' end, to which the tRNAs corresponding amino acid is attached (by aminoacyl-tRNA synthetases). tRNAs cope with the degeneracy of the genetic code in two manners: having more than one tRNA (with a specific anti-codon) for a particular amino acid; and 'wobble' base-pairing, i.e. permitting non-standard base-pairing at the 3rd anti-codon position.
Source: RNAcentral
GAGGGGUUAGUUAAAUCAUAACAUUACCUUGUCAAGGUAAAAUUACUAGUUGAACCCUUGUACCCCUCU